GCAGCACGGGGGCAACCCUGGUGGCGAGUGGCGAACGGGUGAGUAACAUAUCAGAACGUGCCCUGGAGUGGGGGAUAACUAGUCGAAAGAUUAGCUAAUACCGCAUACGAUCUACGGAUGAAAGUGGGGGAUCGCAAGACCUCAUGCUCGUGGAGCGGCCGAUAUCUGAUUAGCUAGUUGGUGGGGUAAAGGCCUACCAAGGCAUCGAUCAGUAGCUGGUCUGAGAGGACGACCAGCCACACUGGGACUGAGACACGGCCCAGACUCCUACGGGAGGCAGCAGUGGGGAAUUUUGGACAAUGGGCGCAAGCCUGAUCCAGCAAUGCCGCGUGAGUGAAGAAGGCCUUCGGGUUGUAAAGCUCUUUUGUCAGGGAAGAAACGGUUCGGGUUAAUACCUUGGGCUAAUGACGGUACCUGAAGAAUAAGCACCGGCUAACUACGUGCCAGCAGCCGCGGUAAUACGUAGGGUGCAAGCGUUAAUCGGAAUUACUGGGCGUAAAGCGUGCGCAGGCGGUUGUGCAAGACAGAUGUGAAAUCCCCGGGCUCAACCUGGGAAUUGCAUUUGUGACUGUACGGCUAGAGUGUGUCAGAGGGGGGUAGAAUUCCACGUGUAGCAGUGAAAUGCGUAGAGAUGUGGAGGAAUACCGAUGGCGAAGGCAGCCCCCUGNGAUAACACUGACGCUCAUGCACGAAAGCGUGNGGAGCAAACAGGAUUAGAUACCCUGGUAGUCCACGCCCUAAACGAUGUCUACUAGUUGUCGGGUCUUUAUUGACUUGGUAACGCAGCUNACGCGUGAAGUAGACCGCCUGGGGAGUACGGUCGCAAGAUUAAAACUCAAAGGAAUUGACGGGGACCCGCACAAGCGGUGGNUGAUGUGGAUUAAUUCGAUGCAACGCGAAAAANCUUACCUACCCUUGACAUGGUCGGAAGCCUCGAGAGAUUGAGGCGUGCUCGAAAG
RNAcentral lists this ribosomal RNA (959 nucleotides) under uncultured bacterium. RNAcentral describes it as "bacterial SSU rRNA". It matches the Rfam family "Bacterial small subunit ribosomal RNA", at positions 69 to 1024 of the family's 1533-position model. The record is from RNAcentral.